GAAGAUUCACCAGAAGGAGGUGGGGAGAUUACAGCAGGAGAACACCGAGCUCAGGUUCGCCGCAGAGUUCGCGAGGAUGGUCGAUGAGAUAGGGCCUUCUGUGGGACCCUCAUCAGGAUAGCCUGUAUUGUUUGUGAGGAUUACCGUCAGGCUUGUUGACGGAAUUCAUUUGCUUGUAUUUCUUUCCUGAUUCUGGAGAUUUGUAUCUGAUUUGAUGUAUG
Molecule: long non-coding RNA, 221 nt
Filed under: Lathyrus oleraceus (garden pea)
Lineage: Eukaryota; Viridiplantae; Streptophyta; Magnoliopsida; Fabales; Fabaceae
Description: Pisum sativum (pea) long non-coding RNA (PSAT_LNC014242)
Source: RNAcentral